UAGCCUUGACAUUGAUUGAAUUUUCCAGAGAUGGAGAAGUGCCUUCGGGAACCUGAAAAC
RNAcentral lists this ribosomal RNA (60 nucleotides) under uncultured bacterium. RNAcentral's name for it is "partial 16S ribosomal RNA". The record is from RNAcentral.